RNAcentral lists this ribosomal RNA (296 nucleotides) under Clostridioides difficile. RNAcentral's name for it is "partial 23S ribosomal RNA". It matches the Rfam family "Bacterial large subunit ribosomal RNA", at positions 1 to 296 of the family's 2925-position model. The record is from RNAcentral. Lineage: Bacteria; Bacillati; Bacillota; Clostridia; Peptostreptococcales; Peptostreptococcaceae.
UGGUCAAGUUAUUAAGGGUGCAGGGUGGAUGCCUUGGCACUAGGAGCCGAUGAAGGACGUGAUAAGCUGCGAUAAGCUUCGGGGAGUUGCACGUAAACUUUGAUCCGAAGAUUUCCGAAUGAGGAAACUCACUUAGAGUAAUGUCUAAGUAUCAUUAAGUGAAUACAUAGCUUAAUGAGGGGAACUCAGGGAACUGAAACAUCUAAGUACCUGAAGGAAGAGAAAGAAAUUCGAUUCCGUAAGUAGCGGCGAGCGAACGCGGAUUAGCCCAAACCAAUAAAGUUUUCUUUAUUGGG